CCUACGGGUGGCAGCAGUAGGGAAUCUUCCGCAAUGGACGCAAGUCUGAUGGAGCAACGCCGCGUGAGUGAAGAAGGGUUUCGGCUCGUAAAGCUCUGUUGUUGGUGAAGAAGGACAGGGGUAGUAACUGACCUUUGUUUGACGGUAAUCAAUUAGAAAGUCACGGCUAACUACGUGCCAGCAGCCGCGGUAAUACGUAGGUGGCAAGCGUUGUCCGGAUUUAUUGGGCGUAAAGCGAGUGCAGGCGGCUCGAUAAGUCUGAUGUGAAAGCUUUCGGCUCAACCGGAGAAUUGCAUCAGAAACUGUCGAGCUUGAGUACAGAAGAGGAGAGUGGAACUCCAUGUGUAGCGGUGAAAUGCGUAGAUAUAUGGAAGAACACCGGUGGCGAAGGCGGCUCUCUGGUCUGUUACUGACGCUGAGGCUCGAAAGCAUGGGCAGCGAACAGGAUUAGAUACCCGUUAGUC
Molecule: ribosomal RNA, 464 nt
Filed under: uncultured bacterium
Lineage: Bacteria
Description: bacterial SSU rRNA
Rfam family: Bacterial small subunit ribosomal RNA
Source: RNAcentral